This is a non-coding RNA of Euroglyphus maynei, 113 nucleotides long. Lineage: Eukaryota; Metazoa; Arthropoda; Arachnida; Sarcoptiformes; Pyroglyphidae. The record is from Rfam.
AUUUUCAAGGUGAUAUGGUACCGCAAACAUAUGCCGGAAUGUUAGUCGGUGCAUUAUGUGCAUUAGCCGGUGUAUUAACUAUUGCAUUACCUGUGCCGGUAAUUGUAUCAAAU